CUCCAUGUGUAGCGGUAAAAUGCGUAGAUAUAUGGAAGAACACCAGUGGCGAAGGCGGCCGCCUGGCCUGUUGCUGACGCUGAGGCACGAAAGCGUGGGGAGCAAAUAGGAUUAGAUACCCUAGUAGUCCACGCCGUAAACGAUGAGGACCAAGUGUUGGGGGUGAAACCUCAGUGCUGAAGUUAACGCAGUGAGUCCUCCGCCUGGGGAGUAUGCACGCAAGUGUGAAACUCAAAGGAAUUGACGGGGGCCCGCACAAGCGGUGGAGUAUGUGGUUUAAUUCGAAGCAACGCGAAGAACCUUACCAGGCCUUGACAUGGGAUGCGAAGACGCAGAGAUGCGUUGGAGGCAAACAUCCACACAGGUGGUGCAUGGUUGUCGUCAGCUCGUGUCGUGAGAUGUUGGGUCAAGUCCCGCAACGAGCGCAACCCUUGUGGCAUGUUGCUAACAGGAAAGCUGAGGACUCAUGCCAGACUGCCGGUGACAAACCGGAGGAAGGCGGGGAUGACGUCAAAUCAUCAUGCCCCUUAUGGCCUGGGCUACACACGUACUACAAUGGCGGCUACAAAGAGCGGCGAGACAGUAAUGUCGAGCGAAUCUCAUAAAAGCCGUCCCAGUUCGGAUUGGAGCCUGCAACCCGGCUCCAUGAAGUUGGAAUCGCUAGUAAUCGCGGAUCAGCAUGCCGCGGUGAAUACGUUCCCGGGCCUUGUACACACCGCCCGUCAA
Molecule: ribosomal RNA, 726 nt
Filed under: uncultured bacterium
Lineage: Bacteria
Description: bacterial SSU rRNA
Rfam family: Bacterial small subunit ribosomal RNA
Source: RNAcentral